Long non-coding RNA from Acromyrmex echinatior (Panamanian leafcutter ant), 354 nucleotides. RefSeq lists it as uncharacterized. NCBI's taxonomy places the organism in Eukaryota, Metazoa, Arthropoda, Insecta, Hymenoptera, Formicidae. The record is from RefSeq and is a predicted model, not a curated record.
AUGACAGAGUUGCGAUCCGGAUAGGAUGUUAUGAAAAUGAGGGAAGCUUGUGCGUUCGCGUAUCAAAAACGGAAGAAUGGUAGCGAGAAAGAAAAAGGGAAAGAAAAAGCAUAAUUUAUAUAAUGCACUGGGAUAAGUCCCUUCAAGCGCUAGAAUCACCAUAAUCCAAAGUAAAGCCAGAAGGAACAAAAAAAUAUAGUAAGACAUGUUACGUGCCACGAUGGUACCUAGCAGUAGACAGCGAUACCAUCUAUUUCUUUGAACUUUCUGUAAUCGACUUCGAUUAUUCGAUAAAUUAACGAGAAAUUAGAGAAAAAGAUGAGAAAUAAAUAAAAUAGACGAUUAAUGAAAUGA